AUUUAUAUAGUUUAAAAAAAACCUUACAUUUUCAUUGUAAAAUUAAAAUAUUUUUUUUUAUAAAUU
RNAcentral lists this transfer RNA (66 nucleotides) under Loxocera lunata. RNAcentral's name for it is "tRNA-Glu". Lineage: Eukaryota; Metazoa; Arthropoda; Insecta; Diptera; Psilidae. The record is from RNAcentral.